CUUGCUCUCUGGGUGACGAGCGGCGGACGGGUGAGUAAUGUCUGGGAAACUGCCUGAUGGAGGGGGAUAACUACUGGAAACGGUAGCUAAUACCGCAUAACGUCUUCGGACCAAAGUGGGGGACCUUCGGGCCUCACGCCAUCAGAUGUGCCCAGAUGGGAUUAGCUAGUAGGUGGGGUAAUGGCUCACCUAGGCGACGAUCCCUAGCUGGUCUGAGAGGAUGACCAGCCACACUGGAACUGAGACACGGUCCAGACUCCUACGGGAGGCAGCAGUGGGGAAUAUUGCACAAUGGGCGCAAGCCUGAUGCAGCCAUGCCGCGUGUGUGAAGAAGGCCUUCGGGUUGUAAAGCACUUUCAGCGAGGAGGAAGGGUGGUGUGUUAAUAGCACAUCACAUUGACGUUACUCGCAGAAGAAGCACCGGCUAACUCCGUGCCAGCAGCCGCGGUAAUACGGAGGGUGCAAGCGUUAAUCGGAAUUACUGGGCGUAAAGCGCACGCAGGCGGUUUGUUAAGUCAGAUGUGAAAUCCCCGCGCUUAACGUGGGAACUGCAUUUGAAACUGGCAAGCUAGAGUCUUGUAGAGGGGGGGUAGAAUUCCAGGUGUAGCGGUGAAAUGCGUAGAGAUCUGGGAGGAAUACCGGUGGCGAAAGCGGCCCCCUGGACAAAGACUGACGCUC
This 678-nucleotide ribosomal RNA is filed under the name uncultured bacterium. RNAcentral's name for it is "bacterial SSU rRNA". It matches the Rfam family "Bacterial small subunit ribosomal RNA", at positions 75 to 748 of the family's 1533-position model. The record is from RNAcentral.